GACGAACGCUGGCGGCGUGCUUAACACAUGCAAGUCGAACGGAAAGGCCCUGCUUUUGUGGGGUGCUCGAGUGGCGAACGGGUGAGUAACACGUGAGUAACCUGUCCUUGACUUUGGGAUAACUUCAGGAAACUGGGGCUAAUACCGGAUAGGAGCUCCUGCUGCAUGGUGGGGGUGGGAAAGUUUCGGCGGUUGGGGAUGGACUCGCGGCUCAUCAGCUUGUUGGUGGGGUAGUGGCUUACCAAGGCUUUGACGGGUAGCCGGCCUGAGAGGGUGACCGGCCACAUUGGGACUGAGAUACGGCCCAGACUCCUACGGGAGGCAGCAGUGGGGAAUAUUGCACAAUGGGCGGAAGCCUGAUGCAGCAACGCCGCGUGCGGGAUGACGGCCUUCGGGUUGUAAACCGCUUUCGCCUGUGACGAAGCGUGAGUGACGGUAAUGGGUAAAGAAGCACCGGCUAACUACGUG
RNAcentral lists this ribosomal RNA (468 nucleotides) under uncultured bacterium. RNAcentral describes it as "partial 16S ribosomal RNA". It matches the Rfam family "Bacterial small subunit ribosomal RNA", at positions 28 to 507 of the family's 1533-position model. The record is from RNAcentral.